This 375-nucleotide ribosomal RNA is filed under the name Perisphaerus sp. 3 FL-2017. Its description in RNAcentral is "partial 16S ribosomal RNA". Lineage: Eukaryota; Metazoa; Arthropoda; Insecta; Blattodea; Blaberidae. The record is from RNAcentral.
CUUUUCUUGUUUUAAUAUGAAAUAUAACCUGCCCAAUGAUUUAUAAUUUAAUGGCUGCGAUAUCAUGAUCGUACAAAGGUAGCAUAAUAAUUAGUGUUUUAAUUGGGGACUGGAAUGAAUGGUUAAACGAAAUAAAGUCUGUCUUGAAUUUAUAAAUUUGAAUUUAAUUAUUAAGUUAAAAAGCUUAAAUUUUUUUAUGGGACGAUAAGACCCUAUAGAAUUUUAUAAUUUAUUUUCAUUUUAGUUUGAAAUUGAUUUAUUGAAUAGAAUUUAUUUUAUUGGGGUGAUAUUAAGAUAAAAAUAACUCUUAUUAAAUUGUAUAUAUAUAUGUAUAUAUUAUUGAUCCAGUUAUAUUGAUUAUAAGAUAAAAUUACC